RNAcentral lists this signal recognition particle RNA (272 nucleotides) under Candidatus Woesearchaeota archaeon CG_4_10_14_0_2_um_filter_33_13. RNAcentral describes it as "signal recognition particle sRNA". It matches the Rfam family "Archaeal signal recognition particle RNA". Lineage: Archaea; Nanobdellati; Candidatus Woesearchaeota. The record is from RNAcentral.
GGGAGAGCUAGGCUGGCGCGCUAGUCCUGCGUUGUUACCGUGAACGGACUUUACACGGAGCCGAAGCUCGAUGGAAGGGAUGGAUUAGUUUUGUUGGUCCCGAUCGCCUUUGCUGACAGUUUGUCCUUUGGGAUGGUCUUGCUGGGAACCAGGUCAGAUGCGGAAGCAAGCAGCCUUAACUUUCAAGUUCCAUGUUCAAAGGGUUGCAAGCUCGAGAAGCUUUUGGGAUUAAACCAACGAGGUUAGUUUGUUUCGACUGUCGGGCAUGCCCC